Molecule: long non-coding RNA, 451 nt
Organism: Amphimedon queenslandica
Lineage: Eukaryota; Metazoa; Porifera; Demospongiae; Haplosclerida; Niphatidae
Exons: 2
Source: RefSeq, a predicted model, not a curated record
AGUAUUUGUACUUCACUUUUUUUAGGUAUCUUGAACAAUCAGUACUAUCAUUGGACCCACGUGAUGCAGUAACUAGUGCUCAUUUACCUACUGUAAUGAAAUUAUUAGCUGAACAAUUAAUUAAAACUGAAGAGAAGAUGAAGUCUGAAGGAUUAGGCUCAGCUAGUUUAUUUCGUACAAUGAAAACUGUUCGAAUGUUAUCAGAACAUGUAAGCAGUUCUUCAUGUGCUGGUAAACAUUAGUAAUAUAAUACGUUAACUGACAUUAUUUUACAUGUUUUGAUUAAUUAUUAGGCAGUAACUAUUUUUGACUUUUAAUGUUGAUUUAACAUUAUUAUUAUUAUUGUAUCAUGACAUUUAAACUUUCAAAAUGAUUUUCUUUCACUGAACCAUUUUACUUUUGUAUUGAGUACUACUGACAUGUUGAUUAUAGCUUUUAAUGAUUUUAGUGA